AUUAGGUUUUCCAAUUUCGGUAGGAAAAUCCGAAAUUCAAAAAGGAAAGAGAGUUCAUAAAAUCAUUUUAUGGGCAGAAGAGAGAAAUAACAAAAAUUGAGGAGGGCAAAAUUGGGUUUUCACACUGAACCUCGCGUAAGCAUUCAUAUUUGGCCCCAAAUUUUGAAAAUUAGUUCAACAGAAUUCUUGACUUCCGAGUUCCAGCUACAUUAACGAUUUUGAGAUGUGUUCCGACAUAGUCUACCACACCAAUCUCUACGUUAAUGUCUGCUAGUUGUUACUCUUCUCUUUUGUGAAUUCAAAUUUUGAGUUAGAUUUUUUGGGGAUAAUAUAUAUCAAACUGCCAUGAUAAUUCAUAGGCCAAGUUCAAGGAACCUCAAGCCUCUUUCCAAAUUUUCCUGCACAUUUCGAUCGUUUGAUGUAUUCCGCUCUUCUUCAGUUGAAGUGAGUCCAGAAAAAUGCGGUGGGCUGUCGAAAUUUUCAAAUUUCAAGAAUGCGCAGAACCCGUUUGAUGAACCUCCGCAGAGAGAUGUCUCGUAUUACAACCAUUUGCUGUUCGAGUACUCUCGCGAUGGCCUAAAUCAAGAAGUGUUGAAAACGUACGCGUUUAUGAAUCGCGCGGGUGUUUUGGUUGACGGGAGCAGCCUAUCUUGCAUCUUAAAGGCUUCUACGAGAUUGCAAGAUUAUGCUUUUGGUAGGCAGAUACAUUGCCACAGUCUUAAAAAUGGGUUCUUUGAGGAUGUCAGUGUCGGAACCUCGCUUGUCGACAUGCAUGUCAAGAAUGGGAAUUUGGAUGACGGGAAGAGAGUGUUUGAUGAGAUCAGAGUGAAGAACGUGGUGACUUGGACGUCGUUGCUCACGGGGUAUGCUAUCAAAAGGAUGAUCCAAAAGGUCGUAGAAGUUUUCAGUUUGAUGAAGUCUGAGGGAGUUGAGCCAAAUCCUUUCACGUUUGCAACUGUUCUUGGAGCUUUGGCAGGUGAAGGUGCAGUAGGGAUUGGAGCUCAGUUGCAUGGUAUGACUGUGAAGAACGGGCUUGAUUCGACCCGGGAGGUGGGGAAUGCUUUGGUUAGUCUGUAUUCAAAGUCUGGGAUGAGUAGAGAGGCUAGGUAUGUGUUUGAUGGAACUGACUGCAGGGAUGCAGUCUCUUGGAAUGGGAUGAUUGCAGGUCUUAUGAUGAACGGGUUUGACUUGGAUGCUAUCGGGCUGUUCUAUAGAAUGAGGGUUGCUGGCAUAGAGUUCACAGAAACAACUUUUGCCACUGCUCUUAAGCUGUGUUCUAACCUUAAAGAAUUGGGUUUUGCCUGGCAACUCCACUGCCAGGUCGUGAGGCGUGGGUUUGGUAGUUUUGACAAUGUUAGAACGGCUCUUAUGAUGUGCUACAUGAAAGGUUCUCAGAUGGAUGAUGCAUUGAAGAUGUUCUCACUGAUGGAUACAGUUCAAAGUGUGGUGUCAUGGACAGCAAUUAUUGGAGGAUACAUGAAAAAUGGUCGAACAUUAGAAGCAACCAAUAUAUUUCUCCAGAUGCGGAGAGAAUCUGUGAGGCCUAAUCACUACACUUAUUCUACAAUUCUUGCAGCUCUUCCAACUAAUUCUUUGUUUCAAGUGCAUGCCGAGAUCAUCAAAACCAAUUAUGAAAACUCAACUUCAGUAGGAACAGCAUUGGUUAACGCUUAUAUUAAAAUGGGCAAGACUGAUAAUGCAGCGAAAGUUUUUAGGCAAAUAGAAGAGAAGGACAUUGUUGCUUGGUCUGCAAUGUUAGUUGCGUAUGCUCAGCAAGACGAUACUGAGGGAGCUGUAAAGUUUUAUGGUCAGUUAGCCAAGGAAGGUGUCUGGCCAAAUAACUUCACUUACUCUAUUAUAAUAAAUGCAUGUGCGACACACUCGGCUGCUACAGAUCAAGGAAAGCAGUUUCAUGCAAGCUCAAUCAAAUCUGGUUAUAACAACACUCUAAUUGUAAGCAGUUCCCUUGUUACUAUGUAUGCAAAGAAAGGGGAUAUUGAGAGUGCCAAUGAGGUCUUCAAGAGGCAGAAGGAAAGAGACUUAGUUUCUUGGAACUCGAUGAUCUCGGGGUAUGCACAACAUGGUUAUGGUGAAAAGGCCCUCGGUGUGUUUAAGGAAAUGCAAAAGAGAAAUUUAGAGAUGGAUGAGAUUACAUUUAUCGGUGUAAUAUCUGCCUGCACCCACACAGGAUUGGUAAAUGAAGGUGAAGUGUAUUUCGACAUGAUGGUGAACAAACUUCAAAUUUCUCCCACCAUGGAGAUAUAUUCAUGCAUGGUUGAUCUGUACAGCAGAGCUGGGAUGUUAGACAAAGCUAUGGCGCUUAUUGAUGGAAUGUUGUUUCCUGCUGGUGCAACUAUUUGGCGUACUCUCUUGGCUGCAUGCCGAGUUCAUCGAAAUAUAGAGAUUGGAAAAUUCGCAGCUGAAAAACUUAUUUCCUGUCAGCCACAGGAUUCAUCUGCUUAUGUUUUGUUAGCUAAUUUAUAUGCUGCCACAGGAAACUGGGAAGAUAGGACAAAAGUGAGAAAACUGAUGGAUGAGAGAAAAGUUAGAAAAGAAACUGGCUAUAGCUGGAUUGAAGUGAAGAAAAAGACGUACACUUUUAUGGCUAGCGAUGUUUUACAUCCACUAUCUGAUCAAAUUUAUAGGAAACUUGGAGAAUUAAGUAUUCGUUUGAAGGAUGAAGGAUAUCAGCCAGAUACAAAUUAUGUACUUCAUGAUAUUGAAGAGGAACAGAAAGAAGCCAUCCUUUCUCGGCACAGUGAAAGGCUGGCUAUUGCCUUUGGGUUGAUUUCACUAUCUCAUGGCAUUCCGAUACGGAUCAUAAAGAAUCUCAGGGUCUGUGGUGACUGCCAUAUGGUGAUUAAGCUGAUUUCAAAAAUAGAAGGGAGAGAAAUUAUUGUAAGGGAUUCAAAUAGAUUCCACCACUUUAGCAAAGGCUUAUGCUCUUGUGGAGAUUACUGGUAACACUUUUAUAAGUUACAAGAAGUAAGGAAUUUGUGAUUUUGGGGAAGCAUGAAUAGAUUUUGGGGAGAGCUUUAGAUCUGCAGAAAAGAAAGUGGUGUUACUCAUUCAUGGAAAGAUGACUUGUCUCACUCACACACUUCUUAGAGAGAGUAUGUUAAGACCAAUCGGGCUCCUGACGACAUGCAUUCCAUCAGUCCAUGUUAAAGCUCCAAACACAAAGUUCUCUUCACUGGUUUUAUAGGGUGUGAAAUUUAUCAUGAAAGACAUCUUUUCCCCCAUCUUUUUGAAGCUGAGUUUGUUAGGAGUGACUGAGACAUAUACACCAGCUGGAGAGUCGACUUCUGCCUUGUAAACAGCAGGCCCUUCCCCAUAAUACGUAACUGUCCUAUGCACUGAUAUAUUUCCUUUCAGGUUCGAGAUUCCAAUUGAUGGAUAAUUGAAAUCGUAUGAGGAUGUUUUGGUGUUUCUGCAAUAUGUGGUCUCACCGGUGAGGUUUUUCAGCUGAGCAGGGCUUGCACCAGUGCUGCACAGAAAACCAAUGAUGUCGCUGCUAUCAAAAUCAUAAACUAAUCCGGGAUCAACUGCUGCAGCUGGAUUGACAUGCCCGGAUCCAUAAUCGAAAGGGCUCCAUGAAGGAUGGACUGAUUUGACUAUAGCAGCUAUAGCAGAAACAUGUGGGCAGGACAUUGAAGUGCCCGAGAUUAUGUUGUAGUCGAUUGAUCUUCCAGCAGUGUUAGCAGUAGCCGAUGGAGACCAUGCUGCCAGGACGUUCACGCCUGGUGCUGUUAUAUCCGGCUGAAAUCAAUAGGUGAAAAACAUGAGUUUUACACAUCAUUCGAAACUUCUUGCUUGUGAAAUAGCAAAAGUCUCAAUUGGAUUCAUCUCUUCUCCACUUGUAUGUUUCUGAAAACUUCCAAACACGUACUUUAAUUAAAUCCGGGCUGAUGACAUUAGGACCCGCGGAUGAGAACAUUGCCAUUUCAGGUGCUGGUUUAGUCGGCAGAACCGCCAUUGUCCGGGAUAUUCUAGCCACCGGGUUUCUGUUACAACAGAAAAGCUUUUCUGCUUCCUGAAUGCUGAUUAAUGCGCCCGGUAUUUCAAACUGAAACCCGAUGUCUUUGGCUAGUGGAUCAACAAGUAUUAUCCCCACACCGCCAGCUUGUUUUACAGCAGCAGCCUUUUCAUUUCGGUGAUCAAGAAUUAUUUCAAGUGUGCAGACAACAAUCUUUCCCUUAACCAGAGCUGGAUCUAGGGUGUUGCUCUUACAAAAGCUGACAGAUAAAGCA
This is an RNA transcript of Salvia miltiorrhiza (redroot sage), 4250 nucleotides long. It is a transcript of the gene named pentatricopeptide repeat-containing protein At2g27610, with no coding region annotated. NCBI's taxonomy places the organism in Eukaryota, Viridiplantae, Streptophyta, Magnoliopsida, Lamiales, Lamiaceae. The record is from RefSeq and is a predicted model, not a curated record. The transcript has 4 exons.